Small nuclear RNA from Colobus angolensis palliatus, 137 nucleotides. Its record names the gene U4. It matches the Rfam family "U4 spliceosomal RNA". Rfam says of the family: U4 small nuclear RNA (U4 snRNA) is a component of the major U2-dependent spliceosome. The structure of U4 snRNA from yeast and human has been reported. The record is from Ensembl. Lineage: Eukaryota; Metazoa; Chordata; Mammalia; Primates; Cercopithecidae.
AUAAAAGAGCUUUGCACAGUGGCCACUGGCGUUUAUCUGAGGUGCAGUUAUUACUCCUUGAAAACUUUUCCCAGUACCCGUCUGUGACAACGUGCAAUGUCGUCAGCAUUGGCAAUUUUUGACAGUCUCUAUGGAGA